This 201-nucleotide long non-coding RNA is filed under the name Elaeis guineensis (African oil palm). RNAcentral's name for it is "long non-coding RNA (EGUI_LNC020162)". Lineage: Eukaryota; Viridiplantae; Streptophyta; Magnoliopsida; Arecales; Arecaceae. The record is from RNAcentral.
GGGGCUAUCGAUCAUAGUGGAGUCGACUCGAAUUAGGUCAGAAAUCGAUUCAAGAUAUCUUCGAGUCAACUUGAGGUCUUGAGAUCUUUAGUGGUCAACUCGAGAAUUGAUCUCAGAAGUUAUGCUCUCUAUCUUCCUGAGAGAGUCACCUCAAGUAAUACUUGGAGUCGACUCGAGGCCUAUGCCAUCUGAUAUUUGCGU